This 451-nucleotide ribosomal RNA is filed under the name uncultured Desulfomicrobium sp. Its description in RNAcentral is "bacterial SSU rRNA". It matches the Rfam family "Bacterial small subunit ribosomal RNA", at positions 354 to 796 of the family's 1533-position model. Lineage: Bacteria; Pseudomonadati; Thermodesulfobacteriota; Desulfovibrionia; Desulfovibrionales; Desulfomicrobiaceae. The record is from RNAcentral.
GUGGGGAAUAUUGCGCAAUGGGCGAAAGCCUGACGCAGCAACGCCGUGUGAGGGAUGAAGGCUUUCGGGUCGUAAACCUCUGUCGGAAGGGAAGAACGGGCAAGGGUCUAAUAGGCCUUUGUUUUGACGGUACCUUUAGAGGAAGCACCGGCUAACUCCGUGCCAGCAGCCGCGGUAAUACGGAGGGUGCAAGCGUUAUUCGGAAUUACUGGGCGUAAAGCGCACGUAGGCCGCUUUGUAAGUCAGGGGUGAAAUCCCACGGCUCAACCGUGGAACUGCCCUUGAAACUGCAGAGCUUGAAUCCUGGAGAGGGUGGCGGAAUUCCUGGUGUAGGAGUGAAAUCCGUAGAUAUCAGGAGGAACACCGGUGGCGAAGGCGGCCACCUGGACAGGCAUUGACGCUGAGGUGCGAAAGUGUGGGGAGCAAACAGGAUUAGAAACCCUGGUAGUCC